This 137-nucleotide ribosomal RNA is filed under the name uncultured eukaryote. Its description in RNAcentral is "partial 18S ribosomal RNA". It matches the Rfam family "Eukaryotic small subunit ribosomal RNA", at positions 1299 to 1458 of the family's 1831-position model. The record is from RNAcentral.
UGGUGGAGUGAUUUGUUUGCUUAAUUGCGAUAACGAACGAGACCUUAACCUGCUAAAUAGCCAGGCUAGCUUUGGCUGGUCGCCGGCUUCUUAGAGGGACUAUCGGCUCAAGCCGAUGGAAGUUUGAGGCAAUAACA